CAGAGUACCGGUGCCCUCUGGGCGCCUACUCCAACCCUUUGUCUACCACAACUGUUGCUUUGGCGGGCCGGGUGCCCACGCACCGCCGGCCCCGGCUGGAGAGCGCCCGCCAGAGGAUACACAAAACACUGCUCACGGUGUCAUCUGAGUAAAAAAAAACAAAUGAAUCA
RNAcentral lists this unclassified non-coding RNA (170 nucleotides) under soil metagenome. RNAcentral describes it as "partial internal transcribed spacer 1". The record is from RNAcentral.